CACAACUGAGUGCUGUGUUCCCUGAGACACUGGAGCACUCAGACUUCACACCUAUGGGGUUGGGAGGGAGGAAGGCGUCCUCAUCAUUUCCUCAGAUGGUCCUCAUAAGACCUCCUCUUAGAAGCCCUGGAAUGCAAGAGAUUUGAUAGAUUCAAAGUGAUAAAAGACAAAACGUGGAAGCCAGGAAUCCUACCACAGGCUGAAGUGUCCUUCCUAACGGAGGAAGAAACGGAGGCAUUUCCUUGUCCGUGCUUCGUCCUGACGUUGUCCUGCUGCCGUAGCAACACACUCUAGAGUGGGGAGUUUAUUAGUUGGACUGGACCUUUAGUUUUGUUGACAGGCAAGUUUUAGAUCAAAGCACUGUUUUCCUGAGUCCACCCCUGACGGAAGGGGCAGAGGAUUUAACUGAAACCCUCAAACACCAUUGUUUUAUUACUUGCAGAGGGACAUCCUGGUGACUGCACUCAGGACCUCACACUUAUCAGGAAAGUGCUGUACCACUGAGGUGGUGCCCUGUUCCCCACAGUGGCAAAGGUUUUGAACUCAAGCAGAGAACACAUCUUAAGCUCUCACAUUGGGAGUUGAGCCCCUGAGGCUCACAGGCACUGCUGACAGCACCUUGGGCUUCCCUGGGGUCCUUCCCCCACUGGGUCCUGGGCAUCUAGUUUUUUUUGUCAACAUGAUGAUAUUCUUCUCUGUGGCCAUUGCACUCUUGGGCAGGAGAGCCAGCUACAUGCACAGUAGGUAGCCACAUCCCAGGUUCUGCAGUGGAAGAGGGUGCAGCCCAGAGUGGGUGGGAGGAUUGACUGCACAGGUGCCACCAAGGAGUCCUAUAGGAAAAUUUGUCCCUAGGCACACCUUCAUGAGAAGCCACUGUGUCUGGGUUCCCUCAGCUCAGGAGUCUCCUGAGGUCCAGACAAGAUGGCUUACAAUCCCCCAGACUGAAGUGGCUCCUGUCCAGGGGAGCAGGUUCACCCAGGCUGGUGUGGAGCCAAAAGUGUCCACCUGGAUCAGGCCACACAACGCCCCAGCUUACACAGGGGACCUGCCGUCGCUCACACUGUGGAGACGGCUAAGCAGGUGGCAGAGGAGGAAAUGUGGCUCCUCUGCUGGGGGCUGAGUGCCCAGGGCACUGCCUGUCCCAGCUCCUCCAUCUGCCCAGGUGCAGCCACCCACCUCUCCUGCAUCUUGGCCCUCCUGCUGUGGCAUCCACGCUCCUCCCAGAUGGCAGUGUUCUUCCUGCUCCCUGGGCUGUGGGACGUAGUGGACACUGGCUGAUUCAGGACAACCGUGAGUCCCCAGAGCCCAGUACCUCGGCCCUCUUGUUCAGACACUGGGCAGGUGGCAGCUGCUGGUGUGGUCGCCAAACCCCAGCAAGUCCAAGGCUCCGUCUGAAGCCAGGUGCUUGCAUGGGGGAUGUGAGAGGGACCCAGGCUGUGAGGGAUUCCCACCAUGUUCUGGGUCUGCAGUAUGUUCUCUGAGCUUCCGUUCAAGUCCAUGAAGCCAAAGAGGGAUCUGUGCAGGGUGACGCUGCCUGCCUGGCCUGACGGUCCUGGGGGUGAGCAGCAGGUGCACACAGAGGAAGAGCAGGAGGAGGAGAGGGGCCUGCGGUGUUCAGAGAGUGGACCAGAAACAGGCUACAACCUGAGCAUGGUGAGUCCUGUCCUGUGGGAGGCGAGGCCAUGGGAAAUGGUGAGACAGUCACCUGGGGCCCACCUGGCACAGAGAUGGGACAGGACCAGAAUGCCAAGGAGGGGUGUCAGGGCCCAGGUGCAACCCCAUCGUGCGUCUGCAGGAACCCUUGAGCUACUUGGAGGACUGGUGGCUGGGAGGAGGUUGAAUACCCACGAGGACAGCAGGAGCCACAGGACAAAGUGGUCCUCAGGUUUGGUGGCAGGAUCAUGGCCAGGAAUACCCGCUACAAAGAGGUGGGCAUCUAAGCAAGCCACCAUCCCCAUGGUUGUGGAGUGGGGCUCUCCCAGGCAACGUGGCCAGCGAGGCCCCCAGGGAAUUAGCAGACAGAGCAGCGGUGCGAGUCUCUGGGCUGGUUUGAUGGCUGUGCUUCCUGCAAGAGAGAGGGGAACAGGUUUUAAGGGAAGGACUUGGGGGGAGCAGGAAGCAGGAGGUUCUGUGGGUGGCAUGGGUGGGAGCAAACUUCUGCAUCUGGGUGGUGGUGAAAAGGGCAGGGAACCUUCUGGCCCAUAUUGCCCACAAACCCUAUGGAACGAGGGUGUUCAAGACAAGCAGACCUGCACAGUGUCUGGCAGUUCUGCACAGUGUCUGGCACAAUCACGGGUCCCCAUGCAGGAAAAUGGCAUACAAGAGCCCCUAUUCCCUUGAGAUGGCUCCAUUCCACUUUUACCCAGGAGACACUCAGGGAUUAGAAAUUUGAUAAAGAAAAUCUACAAACCAGCUACACCCCAGUGUGCCAGGUAGGGGAGGGCUUUUCCCCUACACCUGAUAUAAAAGUGCACAGUCCCCACAGAUCCUGGACUCGACCCCCAGGGCAGCUCCUUUCCCAUGACCAGAAUGAGCUGCCUGUUCACAGUCCAGCCUUAACCUGAUCCCUGUGGCCAAUGUGGCCCAAUUUUCUGCAGAACUGGUGAGACGUGUGCUAGAACCUUCUCAGAAAGCUCCCUCUUCCUGCCUCUACCCUCAGAGAAGUGCUGCUUGACCUCCAGGAGGCAUCUCCCCCACCGGGCCACCCUCUCCCAUUUCAUGAUAAGGGGCAUUGGUGAGGCUCACUGAGUGCUGCCAGCUGACCAGCCCUCGACAGUCAUGUCAAGGCCCCUUCAUCCCGUCUCACCCCAUCUACAGCUGGUUGUGCUGGCACAGAAGCUCCCUGGCAUCCCCAGCUGUCCAGGCCCCUUCCAGAUCAACCCUGUCACCUGAUUAUGUGUAAAUCUUCACUAAUGUCACAGGGGAGCUGUAGCCAUCUUUCCAGAGUUGAUAUCCAUACACGUGAUCGUGAAGACCACAGGACUCACUUGGCCAUGUUGCCCUGGGUGAUGGGGCAGCACUGCAGAUAUUCUAAUUGACAAACCAGGAGUAAGAGUGACCAUAAGUUUUAACCUCCAGUUUUUUUACUCCUUGAUUCCAAAAAACCAUUGCUCCCUGGGGAGCUGGGCCUGUCCCUCAGUGAUAUGGCACUUGCCUGAUAAGUGUGAGGCCCUGGUGAAAUCACCAGGUUGUCCCCACUGAAAAAAGUAAACGAAGGUUGCUUGAGGGAUUUGGUUAAAUCCUCUGCCCCUUUCAUCAUGUGUGGAUUCAGCAACAAAGUGCUUUGACCUUGAACUUGCCAGUUUACAGACCUGGGAGAAGUUAAGUCCCAUUAAUAAAUUACCCAGUCUAAGGUAUUUUGCUGCAGCAGCCUGGGGGAACCCACUCAUGGGGAGUGCCUUCCUUUCUUCCUCCUUUGGGAAGGACAUUUUGCCUCUUCUAGGAUUCUUGGCUUCUGCGUUUUUUCCUUUAUCACUUUGAAUCUAUCAGCGCACCUGUCAUUUGUAUAUUAAGACUUCUAAGAAGAAAUCUUAGGAGAACCUCUCAACCCCAUGGGCGGGGGAGACUCCUCUACAGUGUCUCAGGAAACAGAGCAUUCAGUUGUGGUAUCGCAAAGUGGAUGAGGGGUUAGUACUUUUGACAACAAUUCUUUUAAGACCAAGGAAUUGAAGUGACAUAAGCAGGUUGGUCUUCAUCAAGGCCAAGCUCAGGAUGGAUGGCCUGGAACUAUUCAUAGACCUGGCUACAACACGGUUUCAGAAGACGAAUGUUCUGUCCAAACAGAGACCAUCGGAAAGUCACUUUGGCUCUUCUCAACAGUCCAGGAUGACAGGCCAGUGGCACAGGGCGUCAUGUAGAACUCCUAGACACCUUACCCAGAAAGCACCAGAGAGGACUGACUUCAACAUCUCCUUGGAGGUCUGAGAGUCCCAGCUUGUUCACGAACACUGCAAAUGCAUGACCUAGAAUGUAAACUGACUUCUCAAACCACUAGAAUGUUCUUUAUAUCUUUUUGUUUUUAGUACCAGGGAUUGAUCCCAAAAGUACAUGAACACUGAGCCACAUCUCCAGCUCUUUUUUAAUUUUUAUUUUGAGACAGGGUCUCUGGCUUUGAACCUACAAUGCCCCUGUUUCAGUCUCCUGAGCUACAGGGAUUACAGUCCCCACAGAUCCUGCCACCACACCUUGCAAGAGAAAUUUCCAAAGUAUUUAUACACUCCAAGUGAAGAAAGACUGGGCUAAAUUUCUCCAAAUAAUCCAUGCUGUCACUCUCUAGAUGUUUAAUAUAAUUAUAAUAAGAAUAUUUGGUUUUAUUUCUCGAGGCACACACCAACAAUGGAUUUAUGUCCCUUCUUUAUAUUGACAUAAAAGUUGAAGUUACCUCAGAGCCAAUGCAUAACAAAUACUGAAGUCCCAGGAAUGACUUGAACCAGAAGCCCUUGGAUAAGAGAUAAUUUGUAAUAAAAUGAUUUCUCAAUUUUUCCUAGGUAGGGGUACAUUAUUGUUUUCUAAGACAAAACAUGUGGGGUGAACAGUUUUUCUCAUGCACUUGGUGAUUUCUUUUGUAGUAUGUAUUUGCAGGUAGUUGUCUUGGCCAGGAGUGGCAUUUUAAGUCUGAAUUCCUGCUGCUGUUUCCACUGAGCUUCCUUGAAUUUGUACUGCACUAGAAAGCACAGCCCCAAGUCCAAGAUGGCACACAGUGGUAAUGCCAGCAUCUCAAGAGGCUGAAGCUGAUGAAUGGCAAGUUCAAGGCCAGCCUCAACUUCUUAGCAAGAUCCUGUAACAGGGUUGAGAUUAUCCAACUGCCCUAUACUGGUGGGGACUCCCCUCUGCUUGGAAAUAUCAGGAAAUGGGGAGGAGCAGGGGGAGACUAGUAUGUGUCUAGGCAGUAGGAGGAGGGAAGGAGUGGUCAAGGCUGUCAGAGGGCCUCGUGCAUAGUAAGAAGGGUCUGCAGUGGCAGCUCAGGGUCUAAGGGUGGUAUGAAGAGUGUGUGGUGUUGGGAGGAGGAGCAGGCCGGCCAGGGCUGGUACAGUGACCUGGAGACUUAAGGAUAGGUCUCCCUGAAUCAGCAUGUCAUCUUACAAGGCUGGCCUCCCAGACACACCUGCCCCUCAGUCCUGUCCCAGAGAUGGGAUUCUAGCAGAUCUCAUCUAGGCCUGUCCGAAAUCACACCAAGAGCAACAGGAAGCUAAGUGAUGUACUUUUAUCUACAAGCAUUUACCAGGCUGCCCAAGUUUGCACCAGCCACCAAACCCACCAUAGAGCCCGGGGACUUGAGUGUGCACUCACAUUUCUGGGGGCCAGAGUCUGACAACCAGUGUGGUCAUGGCUGGUGCCCGCUGAGGCCUCUCUCUGAGCUUGCAGAUGGUCUCCCUGCCUGUGUUCUCACAGUGGUACCCUGGCAGUCUGUGGCUCGAUUUCCUCUGCUGUAAGGACACUGCUCACAUCUGAUUAGGACUGUGAGGGGCUAGGAGUCAGCCCAUCACACAGACUAGGCUCAUUCCUCUCCAAACAUCAGGCCAUUGUGAGAAGUUAUGUGAUCUCAGACCUGUGAAGACAGCUCACUCAACACCCACCUACUAAGGCCAUUUGGACCUGUACCAAAUCUUGUAGGACAGUUGAAUUGAUACCAACCCAGUAAGGCCACUUUAAUCAUUACGAACCCAUUCAGGCCACAUUAAUCUCUAACAAUCCAGUGAUGCCACUUGAGUUGAUACAAAGAACUGCAGUGUUUGGAUUGUGUGAUAUUUUUGCAGGUCUAUUGCAUGAGUCCUUGGCCUGAAGCCAUUGCCCGUGAGUCACACUAUGGCUGAACUGCACUUAAUAAAUCCCAGUGAAGCAGAGAGGCACAUGGCUUGUUUGGUCUUUGUGGAGUCACUUUGUCCUCUGGGCUCUGUUGGUGGUGCAUGCACAACCCCUGAAUCACCGGCACGCAGGCCCUUCCCUGCCUGCCUUCAGAGGUUCCCAUGUCACCUGCCCUGUCAUUUAGAGGGUGCUGGACUUACUGGCCAAUGCCUAGGCUCUGCUUAGUUCCUCCUUCUGCAAUUUGUAUGGGUUCCCCACCCUUUUAAAAUAACUGUCUCCAGACUGUGGGACGAGCAAGGAUCCCAGCUCCCUAACCUCGGUGGGGACACCCUGGAGGAGGAAUCUACCGUAGGACUCCUCUGUGGGCUCAGGCUGGGGCUGCCCUCCGUGGGCUUCUGCUUGAGUUUGAGCUUCCACUUGUCCUCCUCCCUUUCCUUGGCCUCCCUGCCUGUCUCUUGCUCUGUGGUCUGCCCUGGGAGCAUGGCCUUCAUACCAAUAAGUCACCCACACGUGAGUCUCAUCGUAGGUGCUGCUUCUACGAAAGUCUAACUUAAGUUAGGAACCAUGAGGCUUACCUAAACAUAGGUGAUCUCCACAAGAUCAUUACCAAUAGUAAGUGUUCUGGUGGGCUCCCUGCUAGGCGGUAAGGACAAAGUGAGAGCGACAGAGUGGCUGUCCUGGAGGCAAUCAUAAUCUUCCCUGGAUGAUGUGAAACACACAAAAAAUGAAAAUUAAUAAUUCACGAUUAUUAUCAGACGUAUUAGCUCUUGUUUUCACUUCUGGGUCCUUCUUGUCCUUUGUCCCUCUUCCACACAUCAUCCAUGCAGCAGAGUUGGGUAGGGCUGGGCUGUUGGCUGGGUCUGCUCAGCCUCUCUGAGCCUGGCACACCUUUGGGGUGCGGGAAUAGCUGAAGGGUCCCUGUGUCUUUGGUGUGACACAGAAGUCACAGUGAGAGGUGCCAGAUACGAGGGGAGCUGAGUCCAGGAACAUGAGGGGACUCGGGGACCGAGGAGGUGAGGACUCUCCAGGUGUCCUAGCUCUGAGAAGCCACUCCAGGAAAGGGGAGCUGAGACCCCAAGCUGACGGAGAUGCUGCUUCUCCUCAUCCCGGUAGGAUGGGCCAUUGAUAUAGAAAUCCAACUGAGGUGCAGAAAAUGAAGACAGUGUAUUCCUUGCACCACACUCUUGAGGGCUGAGACGCACACCCACUAUAAACCCAGGGGGGUGCACCAAAUCAGUGGUCGAGAAAGCAGCCCUUUGGUAUCUGGAUCAUCCAUCUUUUAUGGAUUCUGCGAGGUCCUGUAGUACAUGUGUGUUCUUGUAUAAGAUCCCUAGUAUCUCAGACCUUCAGGGAAAUAAAGGAGUCACUAAACCAAUAAAUAAGAAAAACCCUGUGCAAAAAUCACACCCUCAUUUCAUGCUGUGCUUUGACUUGCUUGGUUUUAAGCUCAGCCUGAGGCCACCUAAUCCCCAAUUCAAGGCUGGUUAGAACCAAUCAGGAGAGUUUUGUUGAACAAAGCAGAGGGAGGUCUGCUGUUUGGAAGUAAAACAUUCAAGGGAUUUAAUUUUAUGAACACAAAUGGAUCAUGUUCACUGAGUCCCUACUCACUGAAGCAGCCCUGUGACCUUUUCUACAGAUUAAUAAGGUCGGGGGCCUGUUUCCUGACUGGUUAUCCCUUCUGGUCCUUUCAUGGUACCUUUUGAAAUGAAAGAUGUCUUCGCUCCUUAAGGAAGUUCUAUUUCUUUCCUAUUUGUAAUAUGGGGAGGGUGAUAUUUUCCCUGCUAAUUAUGAGGGAAAUAGAAGAUAAACAAAUCACUUUCAAGACUUGACCUACACAGAGCCUGUGUUUUCUAAGAAUUGAUUGAUAAUGUUGAAUCACCAAGGGAGAUUGUUAAAUCUCUAUCAUCUAUCACCUGCCUGUAAUCUAUCUAUAGAACACACACACACACACACACACACACACACACACGUCUCGUCUUAAGGACUUAGUCACAGAGAUUUGACCUCACACAGUUCUGGGAGCUGGUUAGCCAGUCUCUGUAGGGUGAUCACUUUCAUGUCUGAUGCUAGAGGUUGAAACCUUCACGGCAGGCAAAGGGGCAGAGGGGUGGGCACUCUUGAAACCAAGAACAAGCUGAGGUGCCAGAGCAGAACCCUGGAACCCACGUCUGUGGUCACUGGCCUGGCUACAUGUGUGCAUGUCCUACAGAAGCUGGGCCCUCAGUCCCAGAGCUGGACAUGCACAGCUGGCCUAGGGGUUAGGGAGGGUGGAGGGGUCUAGGGAAGGGAGGCGAUGGCAGGCCUUGUUGCCCGCUCAUGCCAAUGAGGUGCCAGCAUUUAGGUGUCAAUAUGUGAGUUUGUGGGUCUCCUAGGUCACUUUAAGUUUGUUGAUGUCUUUGGGAAAACAGGUUUUGUCGUUGCGGAGUAUAACUAGUGACAAUAUUUAAUUACAUAUGUUUCCAUUUCUUUCAAUGUAUAUUUUGAAAUAGGUGCUUCUGCAUAUAGAUUUUAUAUUCUUAUGUAUAAUUUAUACCCUUCUAUCUAUAUGCCUUUUAAAUAUUUAAUUGUGAAAUUAUGUAAAAUUUUAUAUUAUCAUCACCUUAUUAGUGGAUUUUUCCAUAGUUUUUAAUUUUAUACUUUUUAAAUGAUGGAGUGGCAUCUUUUUUCUCACAUUUAAUUAUUCCCUAAAAUAGACUGAUAUAAAUGGAAUAGGUAUAAAUAUUCUGUGUCUUGAACUAUGUUCUAAUGAGUAGGUAGAAAUUUAUUUAAAAUAUUUAGGUAGGUUACAGCGAUUUAUAUAUUUUUUUCAGGAGUACAUUAAACCCAUACAUUGAUUUGGGAGGAAUCAAUAUCAUAUUCAAUCUUCAUACCUUGGAACAUAAUGUAUUUUAUGGAUACUAAGGACCUUCUUUUCCCUAUUGUGACAUCUGUGAAAUUAGGAUUUGUUUACAAUAGAUGGCAUUUCAUAAUUUAAUUGGCAGCGUGUUUCCUACAAUGAUGGCGCGUCCAACAGUCCGUGGCAGUUUAUGUUUGAUGCAUGAAGUGUCUCUACAUUGAGUGGUGCUUU
RNAcentral lists this long non-coding RNA (8872 nucleotides) under Marmota monax (woodchuck). The record is from RNAcentral. Lineage: Eukaryota; Metazoa; Chordata; Mammalia; Rodentia; Sciuridae.